AGUAUGAGUACUGCAAAUGUAGGUUACUGCGAUAUAGUAAAUUUUAGAUAAUUUUAUCUCCAUAUUA
RNAcentral lists this transfer RNA (67 nucleotides) under Amaga expatria. RNAcentral's name for it is "tRNA-Ile". The record is from RNAcentral. Lineage: Eukaryota; Metazoa; Platyhelminthes; Tricladida; Geoplanidae.